CUUUCUCUCACUAAACCUGCCACAUCUCUCACUAAACCUUCCUCAUCUCUCUAACCGGAUCUAACUUCCUGAACCACCAUCAUUUACCCCCAAAUCCACACUUUUCCUUAAAGAGAGGAACACAGACAGACAUACCCACCACCACCCUCUUCCCCUCCGCUUUUCUCUCUCACUCUAGAACCUUGUUUCUAUCUCUAAAAACAUCUGUCACAAUUCCACUUUUUUCCUCUCAAAUCUUUGCCAUGUUCCCAUGAAUCUAAACCCUCAAGAAAUCGAAAAAAAAAUAGAUUAAACUUAUAAAUCUUAUCAAGAAUCCACUCGGAUCUAUCAUGGGAUCUCUCUUUCAUUAUUGUUCUCAGUAAGGCUAGAAGCACUCAGAUCGAAUCCGGAGUGGAACCAAGUGUUUGCUUUUUCUCGAGAUAGGAUCCAGUCGAUGAUGCUCGAGGUUGCUGUGAAGGAUAAAGAUCUUAUGAAAGACGAUUUCAUGGGUUGGGUGUUGUUUGAUCUGGUUAGAGAGAUGAGGAAGGUUUAGUGAGAGAAAGGAUAAUAUUUUUUUUAUGUAUUUUUAAAUAAUAGGGUGAAAAGACAAUUUUACCCUCAUGUGCAUUGCACAUGACCA
Molecule: long non-coding RNA, 619 nt
Organism: Helianthus annuus (common sunflower)
Lineage: Eukaryota; Viridiplantae; Streptophyta; Magnoliopsida; Asterales; Asteraceae
Exons: 2
Source: RefSeq, a predicted model, not a curated record